AUGGAAAAUGCUGAUGAAGUGGCGGUAAAGGUGCUUAUGGAGACAUCAAUAGCGGAGUCAACAGAUUUCCUCCCUGAGGUGGCGGCAUUGUCCAAAGUUCAUCACAAGAAUCUCGUAACUCUACAAGGAUAUUGCCAGAACAAGAAGUGCCUAGCCCUCAUUUAUGACUUCAUGCCCAGAGGAAAUCUUCAACAGCUUUUAAGAGAAGGAGAAGACUACAGUUUGAAUUGGGAACAGCGACUUCAUAUUGCACUUGAUUCUGCACAAGGACUGGAAUAUCUACACGAGUCAUGCACCCCAUCAAUAGUUCACUGA
This 315-nucleotide ribosomal RNA is filed under the name Triticum aestivum (bread wheat). RNAcentral describes it as "partial small subunit ribosomal RNA". Lineage: Eukaryota; Viridiplantae; Streptophyta; Magnoliopsida; Poales; Poaceae. The record is from RNAcentral.